GCCGGGGUUAGGGUGCGUAUACAUGCAGUCGAGCGAAUGGAUUAAGAGCUUGCUCUUAUGAAGUUAGCGGCGGACGGGUGAGUAACACGUGGGUAACCUGCCCAUAAGACUGGGAUAACUCCGGGAAACCGGGGCUAAUACCGGAUAACAUUUUGAACUGCAUGGUUCGAAAUUGAAAGGCGGCUUCGGCUGUCACUUAUGGAUGGACCCGCGUCGCAUUAGCUAGUUGGUGAGGUAACGGCUCACCAAGGCAACGAUGCGUAGCCGACCUGAGAGGGUGAUCGGCCACACUGGGACUGAGACACGGCCCAGACUCCUACGGGAGGCAGCAGUAGGGAAUCUUCCGCAAUGGACGAAAGUCUGACGGAGCAACGCCGCGUGAGUGAUGAAGGCUUUCGGGUCGUAAAACUCUGUUGUUAGGGAAGAACAAGUGCUAGUUGAAUAAGCUGGCACCUUGACGGUACCUAACCAGAAAGCCACGGCUAACUACGUGCCAGCAGCCGGGGUAAUACAAUA
RNAcentral lists this ribosomal RNA (516 nucleotides) under Bacillus cereus. RNAcentral's name for it is "bacterial SSU rRNA". It matches the Rfam family "Bacterial small subunit ribosomal RNA", at positions 35 to 529 of the family's 1533-position model. Lineage: Bacteria; Bacillati; Bacillota; Bacilli; Caryophanales; Bacillaceae. The record is from RNAcentral.